UGCAGUCGAACGGCAGCGCGGGGCAACCUGGCGGCGAGUGGCGAACGGGUGAGUAAUAUAUCGGAACGUACCCUGGAGUGGGGGAUAACGUAGCGAAAGUUACGCUAAUACCGCAUACGAUCUAAGGAUGAAAGUGGGGGAUUCGCAAGAACCUCAUGCUCCUGGAGCGGCCGAUAUCUGAUUAGCUAGUUGGUAGGGUAAAAGCCUACCAAGGCAUCGAUCAGUAGCUGGUCUGAGAGGACGACCAGCCACACUGGAACUGAGACACGGUCCAGACUCCUACGGGAGGCAGCAGUGGGGAAUUUUGGACAAUGGGCGCAAGCCUGAUCCAGCAAUGCCGCGUGAGUGAAGAAGGCCUUCGGGUUGUAAAGCUCUUUUGUCAGGGAAGAAACGGCCUGUUCUAAUACAGUGGGCUAAUGACGGUACCUGAAGAAUAAGCACCGGCUAACUACGUGCCAGCAGCCGCGGUAAUACGUAGGGUGCAAGCGUUAAUCGGAAUUACUGGGCGUAAAGCGUGCGCAGGCGGUUUUGUAAGUUUGUCGUGAAAUCCCCGGGCUCAACCUGGGAAUGGCGAUGAAGACUGCAAGGCUAGAGUUUGGCAGAGGGGGGGUAGAAUUCCACGUGUAGCAGUGAAAUGCGUAGAUAUGUGGAGGAACACCGAUGGCGAAGGCAGCCCCCUGGGUCAAAACUGACGCUCAUGCACGAAAGCGUGGGGAGCAAACAGGAUUAGAUACCCUGGUAGUCCACGCCCUAAACGAUGUCUACUAGUUGUCGGGUCUUAAUUGACUUGGUAACGCAGCUAACGCGUGAAGUAGACCGCCUGGGGGAGUACGGUCGCAAGAUUAAAACUCAAAGGAAUUGACGGGGACCCGCACAAGCGG
This 881-nucleotide ribosomal RNA is filed under the name uncultured bacterium. RNAcentral's name for it is "bacterial SSU rRNA". It matches the Rfam family "Bacterial small subunit ribosomal RNA", at positions 56 to 932 of the family's 1533-position model. The record is from RNAcentral.